This 505-nucleotide ribosomal RNA is filed under the name uncultured organism. Its description in RNAcentral is "SSU rRNA". It matches the Rfam family "Bacterial small subunit ribosomal RNA", at positions 15 to 509 of the family's 1533-position model. The record is from RNAcentral.
GAUCCUGGCUCAGGAUGAACGCUAGCUACAGGCUUAACACAUGCAAGUCGAGGGGCAGCAUGAAGUUUGCUUGCAAACUUUGAUGGCGACCGGCGCACGGGUGAGUAACGCGUAUCCAACCUGGCCCUUAGUAGGGGAUAGCCCGGCGAAAGUCGGAUUAAUACCCUAUGUUCUUCGUCGAGGACAUCUGAAAUGAAGCAAAGGUUUACCGCUAAGGGAUGGGGAUGCGUCUGAUUAGGUAGUCGGCGGGGUAACGGCCCACCGAGCCAUCGAUCAGUAGGGGUUCUGAGAGGAAGGUCCCCCACAUUGGAACUGAGACACGGUCCAAACUCCUACGGGAGGCAGCAGUGAGGAAUAUUGGUCAAUGGGCGAGAGCCUGAACCAGCCAAGUAGCGUGCAGGAAGACGGCCCUAUGGGUUGUAAACUGCUUUUAUAUGGGGAUAAAGUCGCCUACGUGUAGGUGUUUGUAGGUACCAUAUGAAUAAGGACCGGCUAAUUCCGUGCC